Molecule: microRNA precursor, 84 nt
Filed under: Bombyx mori (domestic silkworm)
Lineage: Eukaryota; Metazoa; Arthropoda; Insecta; Lepidoptera; Bombycidae
Description: mir-2807 microRNA precursor family
Rfam family: mir-2807 microRNA precursor family
Source: Rfam by way of RNAcentral
UUAGCUCAUAUUUGUAUGGAGUGGGAUAGUUUGCGUAUGUUUGCCGCUAGGGGCGCUAUUCCAACAGCAUACAAAAUUGGGUUA